GGGCUCAAUUCACAACACAUGUACUAAAACUAGAAUCAUACAGAGAAGAUUAGUAUGGCCCCCAGAUGACAGGCAAAUUCCUGAAGUGGUCCAUGCUUUU
RNAcentral lists this small nuclear RNA (100 nucleotides) under Cervus hanglu yarkandensis (Yarkand deer). Lineage: Eukaryota; Metazoa; Chordata; Mammalia; Artiodactyla; Cervidae. The record is from RNAcentral.